UGCAGUCGAACGAGAAGCGUUCUUCGGAACGUGAGUACAGUGGCGGACGGGUGAGUAACACGUGGGGAACCUGCCCUCAAGCUGGGAACAACCCGCCUAACGGCGGGCUAAUACCGAAUGUGGUUGUCAGUCCGCAUGGAAUGACAAUUAAAGGUGGCCUCUCCUUGGAAGCUACCGCUUGUGGAUGGCCCCGCGCUCAAUUAGCUAGUUGGUAGGGUAACGGCCUACCAAGGCGACGAUUGAUAGCCGACCUGAGAGGGUGACCGGCCACACUGGGAUUGAGAUAAGGCCCAGUCUCCUACGGGAGCCAGCAGUCUAGAAAUUUGGGCAAUGGGCGAAAGCCUGACCCAGCGACGCCGCGUGGGGGAUGAAGCUUCUCGGAGUGUAAACCCCUGUUAGGUGGGACGAAAGCCCGUAUACGAACAGUAGGCGGGUUUGACGGUACCACCAGAGGAAGCUCCGGCUAACUCCGUGCCAGCAGCCGCGGUAAUACGGGGGGAGCAAGCGUUGUUCGGAGUUAUUGGGCGUAAAGGGCGUACAGGCGGUGGUGUCAGUCAGAUGUGAAAUCCCCCGGCUCAACCGGGGACCUGCAUUUGAUACUGCAUCACUUGAGUACAGGAGAGGAGAGCGGAAUUUUCGGUGUAGCGGUGGAAUGUGUAGAUAUCGAAAAGAACACCAGUGGCGAAGGCGGCUCUCUGGCCUGAUACUGACGCUGACGCGCGAAAGCCAGGGGAGCAAACAGGAUUAGAUACCCUGGUAGUCCUGGCUGUAAACGUUGGGCACUAGGUGUUGGAGGUAUCGACCCCUUCAGUGCCGAAGCUAACGCAUUAAGUGCCCCGCCUGGGGAGUACGGCCGCAAGGCUGAAACUC
This 870-nucleotide ribosomal RNA is filed under the name uncultured bacterium. Its description in RNAcentral is "bacterial SSU rRNA". It matches the Rfam family "Bacterial small subunit ribosomal RNA", at positions 56 to 902 of the family's 1533-position model. The record is from RNAcentral.